This is a small nucleolar RNA of Pleuronectes platessa (European plaice), 65 nucleotides long. RefSeq annotates it as small nucleolar RNA SNORD66. NCBI's taxonomy places the organism in Eukaryota, Metazoa, Chordata, Actinopteri, Pleuronectiformes, Pleuronectidae. The record is from RefSeq and is a predicted model, not a curated record. The transcript has a single exon.
CUCCAACGAUGACUUCUGUGUCUGGGCCACUGAAUGUUCUUGAUGGUAUUGAGGAACUGCAGGAG